GUCUAUGGCCAUACCGCCCUGAACGCACCCGAUCUCGUCUGAUCUCAGAAGCUAAGCAGGGUUGGACCUGAUUAGUACUUGGAUGG
Molecule: ribosomal RNA, 86 nt
Filed under: Ailuropoda melanoleuca (giant panda)
Lineage: Eukaryota; Metazoa; Chordata; Mammalia; Carnivora; Ursidae
Source: RNAcentral